RNAcentral lists this ribosomal RNA (253 nucleotides) under uncultured bacterium. RNAcentral's name for it is "partial 16S ribosomal RNA". It matches the Rfam family "Bacterial small subunit ribosomal RNA", at positions 524 to 776 of the family's 1533-position model. The record is from RNAcentral.
UACGUAGGGGGCAAGCGUUGUCCGGAUUUACUGGGCGUAAAGAGCGUGUAGGCGGCCAAGCAGGUCCGUUGUGAAAACUGGAGGCUUAACCUCCAGACGUCGACGGAAACCGCGUGGCUAGAGUCCGGAAGAGGAAAGUGGAAUUCCUGGUGUAGCGGUGAAAUGCGCAGAUAUCAGGAAGAACACCUAUGGCGAAGGCAGCUCUCUGGGACGGUACUGACGCUGAGACGCGAAAGCGUGGGGAGCGAACAGG